GUUUUAUUGAAAUUCAAUUUUCACAGAAGGAAGAGAAAGAGCUGUAUGCUGCAGUAAGACAGAAAAGAAGGUCAAAAGGAUGAAAAAAUCACCCAUUUGACACUCCGUGAAGCAGAGACAAGCUGUACCCAUCAAGGACUUCCCAAGGUCACAGAGUACCUGUCAAUUACAGAAUCACUGCCUGCACCAAGAUGGCAAUAAGAAGUUACAAUUUCAGCUAAGUCAUUCAAAAAAUGAUGACCACCAAGAGUGCUAUUUUUAACAGAAGGUAAUUCAAAGACAUAAUGAAGUUUUAGAACUACGAACUAUCAAUUGAAUGCUCUAUGCUUGGGAAACUGAGCUUGGCACUUGGGAUGAAAAGAUCACUAAUAAGAUAAAAUUUCUCCUUUAGAGGAAGAAGAUACACUUAUGUUAUCAAUGGAUAAUAUAUAACCCAAAUCAUAAAGAACAGGAUAAAGGGACAACUCCUUAGUGAGGAUUUCCUCGGGCUAUUACUGCUUCUGUUGAUCUGUCUUGCUGCUGGCUGUGUUAUCCUAAACCUGGGACAUAAAGAAGAUCACAAAUACACUCUCUUCCUGAUACUAUGUCAAUGACAGUAAUUAGUCUGCGGGAUUCUUCGCCUCCUCAUUCAAAUGCAAAGUUUUCAAAAUUUUCUAGACAAUGUUACUGAAAGAAAUGAAAUGUUGUUGCUGUAAAUGAAACCCUACUCUCCAAAAUGAACCAAAAGACUGGACUGGUGAAAAGUACACGGGGUUUUAUUUUCAAAGGUAAGAUGAGUAGUUUGU
Non-coding RNA from Microcebus murinus (gray mouse lemur), 785 nucleotides. Lineage: Eukaryota; Metazoa; Chordata; Mammalia; Primates; Cheirogaleidae. The record is from RefSeq and is a predicted model, not a curated record.